This 435-nucleotide ribosomal RNA is filed under the name uncultured Lachnospiraceae bacterium. RNAcentral's name for it is "partial 16S ribosomal RNA". It matches the Rfam family "Bacterial small subunit ribosomal RNA", at positions 341 to 792 of the family's 1533-position model. Lineage: Bacteria; Bacillati; Bacillota; Clostridia; Lachnospirales; Lachnospiraceae. The record is from RNAcentral.
ACGGGAGGCAGCAGUGGGGAAUAUUGCACAAUGGGCGAAAGCCUGAUGCAGCGACGCCGCGUGAACGAUGAAGUAUUUCGGUAUGUAAAGUUCUGUCAGCAGGGAAGAAAAAUGACGGUACCUGACUAAGAAGCACCGGCUAAAUACGUGCCAGCAGCCGCGGUAAUACGUAUGGUGCAAGCGUUAUCCGGAUUUACUGGGUGUAAAGGGAGCGUAGGCGGCUAUGCAAGUCAGGUGUGAAAACCCGGGGCUCAACUCCGGGACUGCACUUGAAACUGCGAAGCUCGAGUACGGGAGAGGCAAGUGGAAUUCCUAGUGUAGCGGUGAAAUGCGUAGAUAUUAGGAAGAACACCAGUGGCGAAGGCGACUUGCUGGACCGCAACUGACGCUGAGGCUCGAAAGCGUGGGGAGCAAACAGGAUUAGAUACCCUGGUA